RNAcentral lists this non-coding RNA (492 nucleotides) under Pongo abelii (Sumatran orangutan). Lineage: Eukaryota; Metazoa; Chordata; Mammalia; Primates; Hominidae. The record is from RNAcentral.
UGGCAAUGGGCAGACACAGAGCAGAAAGUGGCGGACUUGGGCGGCCACAGAGCAUUUAUGACUCAAGAUGGAACUGAAAUGCCAUCCUGUUAUCAAGAGGGAGCAUAAGAACAGCUAAAGGAGAGGUGCAAGAUUGAAAUAUCAUGGAAUGGACUAUGGUUUAUCCUCUCUUCUGGUCAUAAAACAUCAUCAGGUUGUAAUUGUUCAGAUCAGAAAUUCCCAAGCUUUUAAUAAAGCCCUCAGGGAGCCUCAUUCAGGGGCAACUGCCCUGUCACUGGGAAUAAGUAGAGUGUGUGGGAAAUAUGUUGUCCUUGGUAAAACCUCCCCUUAGGAAAGAAGGCAAGAGAAUUGAGUAAGAUAAUGAUGGGCCAAAAGGAGAAAAUAGAGAAAGAGGCUGCAUGCUACAGAGAAUAAGAGCAAAGAUUCGAAAGCCUUGCACAGUUGGGCUUGAAACCAUCUGUGUAAAGGGAAGUAAUAAUGCUGACCUCACUG